UGCGGAAUUUUAGAUAAUGGAGGGAACUCUGAUCUAGCGACGCCGCGUGCAGGAAGAAGGUCUUCGGAUUGUAAACUGCUGUGGUAAGGGAAAAAUGCUAUGUAGAGUGGAAAGCUACAUAGAGGGAUGGUACCUUACUAGAAAGCCCCGGCUAACUACGUGCCAGCAGCCGCGGUAAUACGUAGGGGGCGAGCGUUACCCGGAAUCAAUGGGCGUAAAGGGUGCGUAGGUGGCCUAACAUGUCAACUGUGAAAACCCGGAGCUCAACUCCGGACUUGCAGUUGAAACUGGUAGGCUUGAGGACGGUAGAGGAAGACGGAACUGCCAGUGUAGGGGUAAAAUCCUUAGAUAUUGGCAGGAACGCCGGUGACGAAGGUGGUUUUCCGGGCCGGUUCUGACACUGAUGCUCGAAAGCCAGGGGAGCGAACGG
This 430-nucleotide ribosomal RNA is filed under the name uncultured bacterium. Its description in RNAcentral is "bacterial SSU rRNA". It matches the Rfam family "Bacterial small subunit ribosomal RNA", at positions 355 to 775 of the family's 1533-position model. The record is from RNAcentral.